UAUAUAUAAGGGCAGCGUGUGUGCAGAGGGCUCAGUCAGCUGCCAGGAUGAAGGCUGUCCCUCUUCUCUGCUGUGUGGCGAUAAUUAUUCUCUGCAUUUCCACCCUGAAUGAGGCCAGUGAUAAGGAGGUGAAGGGAAAGAAGAUAGGAUGCUGCAACAAGUUCAGGCAGUGCCUGAGGUGUCCCCGCUUCCUGCUGGACAAAACUAAAGAAACUCAUCAUUCCAAACCAGUGCAUUUCGUCAGGUUCAAGAAGCUGAUACACAAAUGCAAAAAAUGCUUGAGUUCCAUGUCGUUUCCUGGAAGAACAAUACCUCUGCCCGGAAUAUAGAGAGAGGCACCAGACGUCUGCAGGAGCAGCCAAUGGAAGCAAUGUUUGUAGAUCUCCAAGUUAACCUGCAUGCCUCAUACCCAGUUCAUAACCCUACACACAUCUCUGCUCCUACAAUACCUCAGGCGCCCUGGGCACAACACCUUACUCUCCCAAUUAUUUUAACUUGCAAAAAGUCUCUCAUUACCUGCUAUGUUUGUUAACCUUGAUCUGUAAUUAAAAAGCCCUCAUAAGAUGAAUUUGUUAUGAGAUGACUGUUGACAAAGUGCCAAUCCAUCCUUUGGUGACCUGAGAUGAAUAGGUGAUGCUGAAGUUAUCAAAAGAGGUAGAUUGAUCAUUACACAAACAGACUCUGUGUCUCUGUCCAACAGGGGCCUUUGGACACUCACUUCCCUCUCACGCACUCCAUGUAUCUGAUUUCUCCAUCUCUUAUGAACAAAACUCACCUGCCAUGUUAUUGCUUAACUACUGGUCAUUAUCUUCGAUGCACAUAGCUCAGAAUACCAAGGAUGGGAUUGGAUGGGAGGGGAGGGGAGGGGAAUGGGAAAGGGCUACAGAUCUGUAGGUUGUAGGUCACUUCCAGGAUGUACCUACGGAUCUCUAUCUUGCUCCAGACAUCAGACAAGAAAUGGUGCCUAGUUUCUCUCCCCAACACCCUUGGUAUCUGAGCUGAGAGAGGGAAGUAUCUCUGAGCUGACUCCCUGCCACCCGGUCUGAUGUUCCAGCCGAGAACCCUGUGUCUGGGACCAAAACAAAUCUGGCUGUUCUCCCUGGCCAUUUUAUCGACAUUAUUCCAUUGAAAAAGACAGAAGCUAUUCAGCCCAUCGAGUGUACGAUGAACAAUCCCAUUCCCCUGAUACUCUGCCCACCUUUUCACCAGGGGUAGUUGAUAGUAGCCAAGUAACCAGCAUGUGUUUGGGGUGUGGAAGGAAACAGGAGCUCCUGGGGGAUACCCACAUAGUCACAGGAAGAACAUUCAAAGGUGAGCUGCUGGAGGAACUCGGUGGGUCAGGCAGCAUCUGUGGUGGGAAAUGGACAGUCAACAUUUUGGGUUGAGACUCUCCAUCUGGACUGAAAGAAUAGCUGGGAAGUAGCCAGUAUAAACAGGUGAAGGGAAUGGAUGGGACAAGAGCUGGGAAUCAUGGAUCCAAGUGAGGAGGGAUGAUGGACAGAUGGAGGAGGGAAGGCUGGAGAUAACAACAGAGGUUUGGAGGUCAAAAAUUGAGGUUACAAAGGACUGCAGAUGAUUGAAUCUGAUAGGAAAGGAAGGUGAAAGUUUCUUUGGAAAAGAUGUUCUGGAGUGCAAAAGCUCACACCUAUAAUAGAUAUGGUGGGGAACGUGCAAACUUCAUAACAGUAACAUCAGACAUCAAGGUAGAACCCAGGUCACCAGAGCUGUGAGACAGCAGCACUAUGCCUCCCACAGGGCUGAUGACCUCACCGUAGGACCUCAGCUCUCCCAUGAACAAAACACCAGUCAUAUAUUUCCAAGUUCUCUGAAACAUUUCAUGAUUGUACAUAGAAGCUCGUAAAAUGGGCGGUGGCAUUGUCAAUGGCAUUUGUGAUUAGUGGCUGUGCAUAUGCUCUCAGCUGGAGGGCUUUUGAUUCAUCAGUUCAUUUAAGAUUUUUGUGUUGCUUUGUUUGACGAUUUGUGCCUUUUCAGCAAAUGUUGAGAAGAUAAGAAAUAGAACACUUGGUCCAUUCUAUCCAUCAUGCUUGUUUUGCUAAUUGUUAAGAUCAUGACUAAUCUCUGCAUCAACAGCAUUUUCCUAACCGAUCUUCAGAUCCUAUGAAUCCUCCAACACCAUUUGAUUGCCAUAAAUAACCAAACCUCCCCAACUCUUGGGACAGAAAAUUCAGAGGAUUGACCUUGGUGAGAAAAUUAUUUUGCCUCAUUUCAAUCCCAAAUAGUUUCCCUUUCACCUUAGGUCUACGAGCCUUAGUUGUGACAUCCUCCACCGGGAUAGACACCUUUCAUGUACUUAUCUUCUCAAGCUCUCCAAGUAAUUUCUCUUUCAGUGAGGUCACCGCCUGCUGUUCCAACUCUAGAAUUCCAGCUCAGUCUCUCUCCUCAAGUGACAGACCAACCACCGAAGGAAAUAGUCUGGUGGAUAUUCUCAGCAUCUCCUCUGUAAAAUGAUUUCCCACUUUUAGGUGAGAAGACUAGAUUUGGGCAUAAUUCUUCAUCUGUGGUAUCAGCAAUGCCCUAUAUAAGUAUGAUAAGAUACCUUUCAUUAUGUACUCAAAUCCCUUCGCAAUAAAGGCUUUGUUA
Long non-coding RNA from Mobula hypostoma (lesser devil ray), 2601 nucleotides. RefSeq lists it as uncharacterized. NCBI's taxonomy places the organism in Eukaryota, Metazoa, Chordata, Chondrichthyes, Myliobatiformes, Myliobatidae. The record is from RefSeq and is a predicted model, not a curated record. The transcript has 3 exons.